GGGGUUGUAGCUCAUUGGUAGAGCACUUGCCUUGCAUGCAUGAGGCCCUGGGUUCAAUUCUCAGCACCA
RNAcentral lists this transfer RNA (69 nucleotides) under Ictidomys tridecemlineatus (thirteen-lined ground squirrel). Its description in RNAcentral is "Spermophilus tridecemlineatus (thirteen-lined ground squirrel) tRNA". It matches the Rfam family "tRNA". Rfam says of the family: Transfer RNA (tRNA) molecules are approximately 80 nucleotides in length. Their secondary structure includes four short double-helical elements and three loops (D, anti-codon, and T loops). Further hydrogen bonds mediate the characteristic L-shaped molecular structure. tRNAs have two regions of fundamental functional importance: the anti-codon, which is responsible for specific mRNA codon recognition, and the 3' end, to which the tRNAs corresponding amino acid is attached (by aminoacyl-tRNA synthetases). tRNAs cope with the degeneracy of the genetic code in two manners: having more than one tRNA (with a specific anti-codon) for a particular amino acid; and 'wobble' base-pairing, i.e. permitting non-standard base-pairing at the 3rd anti-codon position. RNAcentral also lists the same sequence under 1 other name. Lineage: Eukaryota; Metazoa; Chordata; Mammalia; Rodentia; Sciuridae. The record is from Rfam by way of RNAcentral.